Long non-coding RNA from Dama dama (fallow deer), 823 nucleotides. RefSeq lists it as uncharacterized. The transcript is spliced from 4 exons. The record is from RefSeq and is a predicted model, not a curated record. Lineage: Eukaryota; Metazoa; Chordata; Mammalia; Artiodactyla; Cervidae.
AAUUCUAAAGGAACCACAGGGAAUUCCUUUUAAGAGCAACAGAAAGCAAGCUAGCUGAGACUUGUGGAUUUCUUAAAUUCUACUGUGACCAAAAGAAGAAGGAAUUAAAGAAGAAUGCUUCCCUUGAAAUUUGAAAAAGGAAAUAAGGAGCAAUUCUAAAGUAUCCCUGUCUCGUGACCCUGUCAUAUUCUUGGGGAAAUGAACUUAUGGAAGGCUGCAGGACGUGCCAGCAGAAGAGGUGAAGGGUUCCUGACUCUUGAGAAGGAUCCUGCCUUCCUCUUCUCCAUUAGAGGGAGAGCUGCCUGCUAGUACCCUGAUCUUUCCUGGACCCUUCAAAGACAGCAGCCACGGUUUCUUGGACUGGAGAAGUCUGAUGAGCAGUUCUUCCCAGUGGUGAAUGGUAUUGUUUCCUUAAUGGUAUUCUUCACAGAACUAGAACAAAUAAUUUCACAAUUUGUAUGGAAAUACAAAAAACCUCGAAUAGCCAAAGCAAUCUUGAGAAAGAAGAAUGGAACUGGAGGAAUCAACUUGCCUGACUUCAGGCUCUACUACAAAGCCACAGUCACCAAGACAGUAUGGUACUGGCACAAAGACAGAAAUAUAGAUCAAUGGAGCAGAAUAGAAAGCCCAGAGAUAAAUCCACGUACCUAUGGACACCUUAUCUUCGACAAAGGAGGCAAGAAUAUACAAUGGAAAAAAGACAACCUCUUUAACAAGUGGUGCUGGGAAAACUGGUCAACCACUUGUAAAAGAAUGAAACCAGAACACUUUCUAAUACCAUACACAAAAAUAAACUCAAAAUGAAUUAAAGAUCUAAAUGUAA